CUCUUCCCUUCUGUGGGACGUGUUUUGAGAACUUGUGUGUUGACUGCACCAUGCAGAGCAUAUAGCAUGGAGGCACCCCUACUGCCAUUGGGGGGCAGGUGGAGGGGGGACCGUCCUGCAGCUCCUCCCUGGGGCUACCCCUCUCUUCCCUCUGCACAGACCUGGCAGCCACCCAGACGUCCCGCCUGCUGCCUAGACUCUAAGAAGAUGCCCUAUCACUCCAAUUACCAUACACAGUACUGGCGGGGGAGAGGUCCUGCCUUGCCGCUGAAAACUGCACUGCUUCCUCCCUCCAGGGAUGAAAGGCCAAGAGAACGAGGGCAGUGUGGAGACUACGCUCUCGCCAGGGACCUGCAGCCUCUCACUUCCCAGCACACCGACUCCAGCUAACAGGACCGGGCUUCCUUACCUGCCGCCUUCCGCUGCCUCCCCGCAGACACAGCUUCAGCGACGCCCAGGCUGAGAUGGCAGAAGAGGUUCCCGCCGGCCGCGGCCUGCCCUCAGGCAGUGGCUCCCAGAGCUCACCGGUUCCCCGCACUCUUCUGCGCCCGACUCCCCAUGCCCCUACGUCCUGCGUCCCCUUCAGCCCCGGAGGUACCGUGGGGCCCGGGCCUGCCAGUCACCACCUCCUCCUCCGCCGGCGCCUCCGGGUCCUGAGCCCCUCGCCGGGUCCCUCUCCCUCCUGGGGCUCCUUCCCGUUCAGCCUCCGGGGCCCUACCCCGCUCUCCCCCACUCCCCCAGGCCCGGCCUGCGCCUUCCUGCGGUGCCGAGGAGCGGUGGCGCCCUGGGUGAAGAAGUCCCGCCGAGUCGAGGGGCGCAAUGGAGGAGCGCCGGAACAGGUCUCUCAUUCCGAGUAGCUACCGUUGCACUGUGCGAGUGUAAAAGUCACUUCCACCCGGUCUCAGUUGUUCCAACCUCAGUUGAAGUGAGGAGGUUGGACUGGAAGGUUUCUGGGGUCACUCCAGUGAGGCUGGGGUUCUAGUCCUCAUCUCACCGUGGCACCCCAAAGGCCCAGAAACCCGGACCAUCACCUCUCUUUCCCCGGGGCCAACGGAGCACUCCUGAAGGAGGGAGGGUUUGUCUCAGGCCUGACAGUUCCUGAUGAGGACUUGGGCAGAAACAGCCCCAGGCAAGCGGACCUUCAUUCCUGCACUUGAGCCGUCUCCUCCCUGCCCCCACCCCCCACCCCCCGCCCCCCAGAAGGAGAAAACCCAGCGCUCUGAUUCCCAGCGGCGGGGCAGCCUGCAGGCCCUGUUCCCAGCCCACAGACCCAUGUCCCAGCCCAAACGGAGGCAGCCCUGGGCAGCGGGCGCUUGGAGCCCAAGGGCUCAGGGCCACUCAGCCCUUGUUACUGUCCCUCAUCUAGAAAAUGGAUGUAAUAACAAAACAGUUCACGGUAGAUGGCAAGAUCAGACACAUCGGGAACUGUGUAGGGCUGGCUCUUUCUGCGCUCACACUGUCCAGCAAUGGGCCCCAGGGACUUGGCCAGAGCGCAGUAGGGCAAUGAGAAAGGGGUGGCUUCCGGAAACCUACACGAGGCCCAGUCUGGGUGGAUUUGGGUGGCGGUCCCUUGCCUGCGAGGUGGGCAGGGCAACUUUCUACUAAAUUAUCUAACACUGCCAGUAAUGGCAGCCCUUGCCCAGGGAGCCAGGAGGCUGGGCCAGGACCACCCCCCUGUCGCCUGGCUUCAGGAAAGAAAGUGGGGAAGACAACAGAUUUGGGAGAAGGAAACUGAGGAGGUUUUCUCCCAGUCUCCCUCACGCUGCCUCAGUCAUGGCCAUUGCUAAGACUCACAGAGCCCAACUGUGCAAGGCCCUGCACUUCGCAUUCUUCUCAUCCAACCCCACGACAACCCAAGGAGACACAUAAUAUCCCCAUUUUACACGUGGCAGAACUGAGGUUCUACAUGGCCAAGUGACUUGUUCAGUGCCAGACAGCUGGUAGUAGUGAAGCCAGGAUUCAAAUCCAGCUUUCCGACUCUAAAGUCUAAGGCGCAGACCGAGUGUGGUGACUCAUGCCUGUGAUCACAGCACUUUGGAGGCUGAGGAGGGCAAAUCAUUUGAGCUCCCAAGUUCAGGACCAGCCUGGGCAACACGGCAAAACCCUGUCUCU
This 2112-nucleotide non-coding RNA is filed under the name Pan troglodytes (chimpanzee). The record is from RNAcentral. Lineage: Eukaryota; Metazoa; Chordata; Mammalia; Primates; Hominidae.